GACGAACGCUGGCGGCGUGCCUAAUACAUGCAAGUCGAACGCUUCUUUCCUCCCGAGUGCUUGCACUCAAUUGGAAAGAGGAGUGGCGGACGGGUGAGUAACACGUGGGUAACCUACCCAUCAGAGGGGGAUAACACUUGGAAACAGGUGCUAAUACCGCAUAACAGUUUAUGCCGCAUGGCAUAAGAGUGAAAGGCGCUUUCGGGUGUCGCUGAUGGAUGGACCCGCGGUGCAUUAGCUAGUUGGUGAGGUAACGGCUCACCAAGGCCACGAUGUAUAGCCGACCUGAGAGGGUGAUCGGCCACACUGGGACUGAGACACGGCCCAGACUCCUACGGGAGGCAGCAGUAGGGAAUCUUCGGCAAUGGACGAAAGUCUGACCGAGCAACGCCGCGUGAGUGAAGAAGGUUUUCGGAUCGUAAAACUCUGUUGUUAGAGAAGAACAAGGACGUUAGUAACUGAACGUCCCCUGACGGUAUCUAACCAGAAAGCCACGGCUAACUACGUG
This 508-nucleotide ribosomal RNA is filed under the name uncultured bacterium. Its description in RNAcentral is "partial 16S ribosomal RNA". It matches the Rfam family "Bacterial small subunit ribosomal RNA", at positions 28 to 507 of the family's 1533-position model. The record is from RNAcentral.